RNAcentral lists this ribosomal RNA (390 nucleotides) under uncultured bacterium. RNAcentral describes it as "bacterial SSU rRNA". It matches the Rfam family "Bacterial small subunit ribosomal RNA", at positions 28 to 409 of the family's 1533-position model. The record is from RNAcentral.
GACGAACGCUGGCGGCGUGCCUAAUACAUGCAAGUCGAGCGAAUUUUUGGGAGCUUGCUCCCAAAAUUAGCGGCGGACGGGUGAGUAACACGUGGGCAACCUGCCUAUAAGACUGGGAUAACUUCGGGAAACCGGAGCUAAUACCGGAUAAUUCACAUCUACUCAUGUAGAUGUGCUGAAAGACGGUUUACGCUGUCACUUAUAGAUGGGGCCCGCGGCGCAUAGCUAGUUGGUGAGGUAACGGCUCACCAAGGCCACGAUGCGCAGCCGACCUGAGAGGGUGAUCGGCCACACUGGGACUGAGACACGGCCCAGACUCCUACGGGAGGCAGCAGUGGGGAAUCUUGCGCAAUGCGCGAAAGCGUGACGCAGCAACGCCGCGUGGGGAAG